UCUCGCCUUUCACCCUGGCGGAGGGGUGCCUGCACUCCAGGUCCCUACCUUGGGGUUAGAAUCUGGCUGCGGAAGGCCUCCAGAUCCCCUCCACUGCUAGUCUGAGACCCCAGCUUCAGCACCAGAGGCUGGACAGCGCCCUGGCCCGAUUGCGCCUGGGUUCCCGCGCACAGCUCCGCUGCCCUAAGUCGCUCGGAUCUCACGCGGAGGCGACCAGGAGUGACAAAUGGAAAAGCUGGAUGGAUGGAAACAAUGACCAUCUAAUUUGGUGUAAGAGAAGACCCAUAACUUCCCAGGAAGGCUGUGGCAGCAAGUAGUCCUCUUUAGGGAUGCUGGUAUUGGUCUCCACUUCUCUAAAAGGAAGGGGUAUCACCGUUCCUUUCCUU
This 386-nucleotide long non-coding RNA is filed under the name Sus scrofa (pig). RNAcentral describes it as "lncRNA (ENSSSCG00070030481.1)". Lineage: Eukaryota; Metazoa; Chordata; Mammalia; Artiodactyla; Suidae. The record is from RNAcentral.